This 87-nucleotide transfer RNA is filed under the name Oenothera villaricae. RNAcentral describes it as "tRNA-Ser". It matches the Rfam family "tRNA". From Rfam's summary of the family: Transfer RNA (tRNA) molecules are approximately 80 nucleotides in length. Their secondary structure includes four short double-helical elements and three loops (D, anti-codon, and T loops). The record is from RNAcentral. Lineage: Eukaryota; Viridiplantae; Streptophyta; Magnoliopsida; Myrtales; Onagraceae. RNAcentral also lists the same sequence under 3 other names.
GGAUGGAUGUCUGAGCGGUUGAAAGAGUCGGUCUUGAAAACCGAAGUAUUGAUAAGGAUACCGGGGGUUCGAAUCCCUCUCCAUCCG